UAUAUAUAUCUAUAUAUAGUUUAAUUGUUAAUUGGUGAUGUUAGAAUGACUAUGUAUGAAGUGAGCAUGUGUUGUGUAGGUUCUGUGCAUCUGUAUGUGUGUGUAUGGGUGUGUGUGUGUACGUGUUGUGUAGGUGUGUGUACGUGUUGUGUAGGUGUGUGUACGUGUUGUGUAGCUGAGUGUACGUGUUGUGUAGGUGUGUGUGUGUGUGUGUACGUGUUGUGUAGCUGUGUGUACGUGUUGUGUAGCUGUGUGUACGUGUUGUGUAGAUGCGGUAUUGUGUGGACCUCACCUGUGCUGCCGACAGGAGAGUUGUGUUCCCUGUAGUCCUGGUGGGGCUCUGGUACCGGGAGGGACUCUGACGGACAGACAGACAGGUGAGCAGAGAGACAGGUGAGCAGACAGACAGGUGAGCAGACAGCCAGACAGGUGAGCAGAGACAGGAGAGCAGUGAGACAGGUGAGCAGACAGACAGACAGGUGUGUAGAGAGACAGGUGAGCAGAGAGAGAGACAGGUGAGCAGGGAGACAGGUGAGCAGACAGACAGGUAUCCCAACCUCAUCAUGUUGUAGUGCUAACUCAUUGCAUCUCAUUGUUUACCCCCCCCUACCU
Gadus macrocephalus (Pacific cod) is the source of this 612-nucleotide long non-coding RNA. RefSeq lists it as uncharacterized. The transcript is spliced from 3 exons. NCBI's taxonomy places the organism in Eukaryota, Metazoa, Chordata, Actinopteri, Gadiformes, Gadidae. The record is from RefSeq and is a predicted model, not a curated record.